Molecule: long non-coding RNA, 2436 nt
Organism: Aedes albopictus (Asian tiger mosquito)
Lineage: Eukaryota; Metazoa; Arthropoda; Insecta; Diptera; Culicidae
Exons: 3
Source: RefSeq, a predicted model, not a curated record
CAUCCCUGGCAAAUUGCAACCGACUCGCAUUCACUCACUCACACAGCCGGUGGUGCUCUAGAAAGCAUUCUCCCGUAUCGCGCUCUUCCAUCGAAUACAGUCACGCAAGCACACACAGCCCUAAUAUAAUCUACUUGCACUGAAUACUAACUACGGUGUAUGGUCAGCCCCAAACACAAACCGCCGCCGCGCUGCCAACGAGGAAAAACUUUGCUCCGCUAGAAGCCAAAGCCAAGACGCCCGUUCAGUAGUAUUUCGGUUCCAUAUCCCGUCGCGUCGUGUGUCGUCCCGUUUCUCUGUUCGUUCACGACAUCGUCGUGGUCCUCUGUCCGCUGUCCCGCGUCUCACUGACUGUGUAGGUAUACCCACCUACCUAACUAGACCUAGACCGUUCGUUCGUUGAUGAACCGUGUGCGACACAGCCUGCGAGAAGCAACCAAGCAACCAACCGACGACGGUCUGGGGGUGGAAAAAAUAAGACUGGAUUUUCCUCUUCGUUUCUCCUGGCUGCUCCUCCGUGUGGCCGUGUCUUUCUGGGGGAUGGAGGUGACUAUACUUGAUCCUGCUGCUGCUGCUGCUGGGGUUUAGAUUUCCCUCCUGUGAUGAGUGGGGGUGAAACAGUAGUGAGAAGAAAGAUGAACGCAAGGGGGUUGAAUCCUUCUUCCGUGUGUUAGACGGUGCGGUGGUGGAGUCGUCGACGACUCGGCUGUAUCGUUCGUUAGUUGGUUAGUGUUUAGUGCAAGGAGAAAAAUUCAAACGACGACGCGACGGACGGCGUGAAAAUUUUCACAUUUUUCGGGGCGGUUUUUAUUUCUGGUGAAAAUAACCUGCUGUCUAUCUGGAAAGAAGAUUUGUGGAAGGCAGCGACGGCGGCAUCCCCCUCCGGGCGAGUGAAGAAAACAAGGAAACAUGCUGAGUUCGAAUUGCCUGCCAGGAUGAUCGAAGUGUGAACAGUGGAUAUCCUCAACGAAGAAGCAGAAGCACCAUAAAGAUGACGUUAGAGUCCUGAAUGUGCGCGAUGUGUGAUGAGGGAAAAAUGAGUGGCAAGUGUAGUGCAAAAAAUGCAAAAUAAAUGCAAACAAAGGACUAUUUACUCCGAGACGGGGCAGAGUGAGAGUGCAACAUGAAAACGAAUCACAGUGUCUACGAGCAACGGCAACGACGACGACGACAAGAACCAUCGUCCUAGUCUACGGUAUUGUUAACGACAGCAGCAGGCAGCAUCAGCUGGUUGCACACGAGUGAUGAUAGUCGCAGGGAUGCUGCAAAUUAACAACGCGAGGGAGGCCAUCAGCAGCAGUAGUGUCAGUGACAGGUGAUGGAGAUGAUGGUCGUUAGGACAGUUUGUAUGGAAAGUGCAAUUAAAUUUUAGUACUUUUGCUAAAUGUUCGUGAUUAAAUAACUGCGCUUUCGGCGAGGGCGAGGUUGUAUCCACGUAGCGUACUGAGAAACCGUUUGUGUGGAGUUCAAACGAAUGAUGAAGAGUUAGUGAAUUCUCAAAUUGGUUCGUGUAUGCGUUGCCUGUAGUAUUUAAUUCUAUAAGUAGCUAGUUGCUUAAGUAGUAAAUUAUUUCAAUUAACGAAUACUCGACAAAACUCAGAGCGUAGUCUGUGAUGGAUCAGUGAACGGAAGAAGCCUCCAGUGUAAUGAAAUAAUCGGUUAUUCCGGGAAGAGAAAAAUGCGAGUUUAACCAACUGAUAACAGUGAACCGCAGCUGUUGGAUUGCAAUCAAUCAUUUCCAAAAAGCCGUGAAACAGAAACACAAGGUCACGUGACAAAGUGAUAGAAGAAUAUCAUCGACCUGAAACGACCGCGGAGCCGAACUGUCGGAAACGGCCCGGGGUACCCGGCCGGCCGCGGGGUUGUGUGUGUGAGAUGAAAGUCAUCAAUCGUCUUCACUCACGGCUCCCUCCAACAUUUUUGACAACGAAGACGACGACGACGAAGCAGAGUGGGACGCCACCACCAAUAGAACAGUUAUUAUCCGAGAAUCGUCAUUGUCAUCAGGACGUAGAGUACGACGUCACCGGUAACGGUGUCCACAGCCGCCGCCGCCACCACAGCAGAAGACUACGAAAGAAGCGACGGGUUGGUUGGUUUUGGCGCCGGAGAAAUCCGCUGCAGGCAGCGGAACUCCUCGGUUGUAGACGACGAAGAACUGAUAGUCCGCGGAGCGUGACUACCGGUUCCAGCAGUUCCCGAUUUUAUUGUUUUCCUACCGUUAGUGCACCAACUGCUACCUGUUCCAAUGAUGGGAUACAUCAUGGGUUGUGCUUGUUUCAAAGGUAUGUCCGGAAUAAGUCUUAUUUUACGUCUAUCAUCAUCUUCCUAGCUGUACAUAGUCUUCACUAUCAACAAGUCUGGUAAGCUAGAAUGUUCAAGCUGUGUUCAAACCUUCUUUCGAAAUUGUUAUAUUUGAAUUUGAAAACCUCUUAU